GUUUACAAGGCAGCACGACAACAGCGUGCAUGGAAGGACAGACGGUGAACUGGCUGACAGAUGAUGAGGCUGACCUUCUGUACAUCUUUUACAACUACAUUUUAAUGUGCAGCGUUCUGUGUGUGUGCAGAUGCAUAGCUGUUACUGAGAUGGACACUACACCCCUUCUCUAUUAAGCUGUGGAUGGUGCACCUGAAGACCUGCUGAGGACAUCAACUCCAGAACUUGAGGCACACGGCCCAGUGAAGAAGACAACCCAAAGCCUUGUGGGCUCACACUACAAACCUCCAAACAACAAUUCAGAUGGCUUGAUGGUGAAGAACCCAUCUGGUCUUUUGUUCGGACUUUCCACCAGUAAUUCAGAGACGGCUAUUUCAGCAUGUGGUGAGAUGACAUCUUGAAUCCCAAGGCACAUUCCGUGGCCAGACAAUCAUCAGCAGCAUUCUUGAGGACAUGCACAGAGACGGGCGAGUUUGUUUUAUAAAUAGACCAUUUAUUGAAAUAAAAGCUUUACAAAACUUUUUUUUUUGCAGCCACUCCAUCCCAGCUAAGCCAGCUGCUGGAGUUUUGAAUAAGAUGGGGAAAUCCCUACUACUGGUGCUGUCAAGGUACAGUACCUCACGUUUUCUCCAUGGUGUUAUAAAGACAGUCAUGGGACUACAAGAGAACUAGUAUGACCGGAGAAAAUGUGAGGUACUCUACCUUGAUGACUGCACCAGUAGGGAUUUCCCAGUGUUUAAGGGCCCUGACAAAAUGUUGAACACAGGGUUUUUUUAUUUAAAUCUGUUUUUCUUCAAUAAAGCUAUUACAACUUAACUCUCUGGUUCAGGUCUUGGUUCUUCACUGUGCUCCAUCUUAGCCCAAAACAAACCAAUAAACUCACUCCCACACAAAAUAAAAACUUGAAAAAUGUCCUUCACUGUCCACAGCUGGAAAAUGGUCCCUCAAAUAAAAUAUUCAAACAUUUUUCUUAAUGACUGUAAUGCAACUUGUGCUUAAUUCCAUAAACACACGCCUCAAUGUCAUUAUGAGGGUUGACAGGAAUAAGGCUUCCCCGUUGUGUCCAGCCCAUCUUAGCUUCAAGGCAGGCACGCUGUGAGGGAAUGUGCACAGGCUAUUUUUGUCUUUCCCCAUAGCCUAAGCGUAGAGGACAUUCCAAUGAAACAUGCAAUCAAAUUAAGAUGUACAGUGUUUAAGUAUACUACAGUCAACCUUGUAGAAUUUG
Molecule: long non-coding RNA, 1225 nt
Organism: Monopterus albus (swamp eel)
Lineage: Eukaryota; Metazoa; Chordata; Actinopteri; Synbranchiformes; Synbranchidae
Exons: 5
Source: RefSeq, a predicted model, not a curated record